GAGAGAGGGAGGAGCAGUCGCGCGGCCCGAAAGGGAGUGAGGAAAGUCCGAACACCAUAGAGCAGGAUGCCGGUUAACGGCCGGGCGUCGUGAGGCGACGGAAAGUGCAGCAGAAAGUAUACCGCCUUCCUCGUGAAGGUAAGGGUGAAAUGGCGGGGUAAGAGCCCACCGCGUUUUCAGUAAUGAAAACGGCAUUGCAAACCCCAUCCGGUGCAAGAUCAAGAAGCGGUUUAAAAUUGCUCGUUUAUGACCGCGGGUAGAUCGCAAAGAGCAUUGCAGUAAUGUAAUGCCAAGAUUGAUGACUGCAUAAACAGGAUUCGGCUUAUAUCCCUCUCUCAAAC
Molecule: RNase P RNA, 341 nt
Filed under: Spirochaetota bacterium
Lineage: Bacteria; Pseudomonadati; Spirochaetota
Description: Spirochaetes bacterium (wastewater metagenome) RNase P RNA component class A
Rfam family: Bacterial RNase P class A
About the family: Ribonuclease P (RNase P) is a ubiquitous endoribonuclease, found in archaea, bacteria and eukarya as well as chloroplasts and mitochondria.
Source: RNAcentral